This 497-nucleotide ribosomal RNA is filed under the name uncultured bacterium. RNAcentral describes it as "partial 16S ribosomal RNA". It matches the Rfam family "Bacterial small subunit ribosomal RNA", at positions 28 to 507 of the family's 1533-position model. The record is from RNAcentral.
GAUGAACGCUGGCGGCGUGCCUAAUACAUGCAAGUCGAGCGAACGGACGAGAAGCUUGCUUCUCUGAUGUUAGCGGCGGACGUGUGAGUAACACGUGGAUAACCUACCUAUAAGACUGGGAUAACUUCGGUAAACCGUAGCUAAUACCGGAUGAUAUUUUGAACCGCAUGGUUCAAAAGUUAAAGACGUUCUUGCUGUCACUUACAGAUGGAUCCGCGCUGCAUUAGCUAGUUGGUAAGGUAACGGCUUACCAAGGCAACGAUGCAUAGCCGACCUGAGAGGGUGAUCGGCCACACUGGAACUGAGACACGGUCCAGACUCCUACGGGAGGCAGCAGUAGGGAAUCUUCCGCAAUGGGCGAAAGCCUGACGGAGCAACGCCGCGUGAGUGAUGAAGGUCUUCGGAUCGUAAAACUCUGUUAUUAGGGAAGAACAUAUGUGUAAGUAACUGUGCACAUCUUGACGGUACCUAAUCAGAAAGCCACGGCUAACUACGUG